CGUUAACAACAGAAGAAGCACCGGCUAACUCCGUGCCAGCAGCCGCGGUAAUACGGAGGGUGCGAGCGUUAAUCGGAAUUACUGGGCGUAAAGCGCACGCAGGCGGUUUGUUAAGCUAGAUGUGAAAGCCCCGGGCUCAACCUGGGAUAGUCAUUUAGAACUGGCAGACUAGAGUCUUGGAGAGGGGAGUGGAAUUCCAGGUGUAGCGGUGAAAUGCGUAGAUAUCUGGAGGAACAUCAGUGGCGAAGGCGACUCCCUGGCCAAAGACUGACGCUCAUGUGCGAAAGUGUGGGUAGCGAACAGGAUUAGAUACCCUGGUAGUCCACACCGUAAACGCUGUCUACUAGCUGUUUGUGACUUUAAGUCGUGAGUAGCGAAGCUAACGCGCUAAGUAGACCGCCUGGGGAGUACGGCCGCAAGGUUAAAACUCAAAUGAAUUGACGGGGGCCCGCACAAGCGGUGGAGCAUGUGGUUUAAUUCGAUGCAACGCGAAGAACCUUACCUACACUUGACAUGCUGAGAACUUUCUAGAGAUAGAUUGGUGCCUUCGGGAACUCAGACACAGGUGCUGCAUGGCUGUCGUCAGCUCGUGUCGUGAGAUGUUGGGUUAAGUCCCGCAACGAGCGCAACCCUUGUCCUUAGUUGCCAGCCUUAAGUUGGGCACUCUAAGGAGACUGCCGGUGACAAACCGGAGGAAGGUGGGGACGACGUCAAG
This 715-nucleotide ribosomal RNA is filed under the name uncultured Alteromonas sp. RNAcentral describes it as "bacterial SSU rRNA". It matches the Rfam family "Bacterial small subunit ribosomal RNA", at positions 473 to 1189 of the family's 1533-position model. Lineage: Bacteria; Pseudomonadati; Pseudomonadota; Gammaproteobacteria; Alteromonadales; Alteromonadaceae. The record is from RNAcentral.